AGAGUUUGAUCCUGGCUCAGGAUGAACGCUGGCGGCGUGCUUAACACAUGCAAGUCGAACGGACAGGUAAUGAAACCUAGUGAUUUAUCUGUUAGUGGCGGACGGGUGAGUAACGCGUGGGUAACCUGCCGUAUACAGGGGGAUAACACUUAGAAAUAGGUGCUAAAACCGCAUAAGCGCACAGGAUCGCAUGGUCCGGUGUGAAAAACUCCGGUGGUAUACGAUGGACCCGCGUCUGAUUAGCUUGUUGGCGGGGUAGAGGCCCACCAAGGCGACGAUCAGUAGCCGGCCUGAGGGGGUGAACGGCCACAUUGGGACUGAGACACGGCCCAAACUCCUACGGGAGGCAGCAGUGGGGAAUAUUGCACAAUGGGGGAAACCCUGAUGCAGCGACGCCGCGUGAGUGAAGAAGUAUUUCGGUAUGUAAAGCUCUAUCAGCAGGAAAGAAAAUGACGGUACCUGACUAAGAAGCCCCGGCUAACUACGUG
Molecule: ribosomal RNA, 488 nt
Filed under: uncultured Lachnospiraceae bacterium
Lineage: Bacteria; Bacillati; Bacillota; Clostridia; Lachnospirales; Lachnospiraceae
Description: bacterial SSU rRNA
Rfam family: Bacterial small subunit ribosomal RNA
Source: RNAcentral